GACGAACGCUGGCGGCGUGCUUAACACAUGCAAGUCGAACGAUGAAGCAAAGAAUCGAAGCUUCGGCAGAAAUUCAUUUCGGAUUAGUGGCAGACGGGUGAGUAACGCGUGAGCAACCUACCUCUUACAAAGGGAUAGCCUCGGGAAACCGGGAUUAAUACCAUAUAACAUUGUGACGAAGCAUUUCGAUGCAAUCAAAGCUACGGCGGUAAGAGAUGGGCUCGCGUCCCAUUAACCGGAUGGUGAGGUAACGGCUCACCAUAGUGACGAUGGGUAACCGGCCUGAGAGGGUGAACGGUCACACUGGAACUGAGACACGGUCCAGACUCCUACGGGAGGCAGCAGUGGGGAAUAUUGCACAAUGGAGGGAACUCUGAUGCAGCGACGCCGCGUGAGUGAUGAAGGAAUUCGUUUCGUAAAACUCUGUUCUAUGGGAAGAAAAGGACUGUACCAUAGUAGAAAGCUCCGGCUAAAUACGUG
RNAcentral lists this ribosomal RNA (480 nucleotides) under uncultured bacterium. RNAcentral describes it as "partial 16S ribosomal RNA". It matches the Rfam family "Bacterial small subunit ribosomal RNA", at positions 28 to 507 of the family's 1533-position model. The record is from RNAcentral.